UUUUUGCAGUGGUUUCAUGCCUUAAAGGUACACAUGCGUUCAAACAAGAUCUCAUCUCUGGGUUAGGGUAAACUGUUAAGAUUUAAACUUACUCAUUUUACCUUCCACCAUGGGGCUUACAACCGUCACUUGUGUCUUGAGUAGUUAAAAGACAGAACGGUCUAGUCAAGCGCCAUGUCUCUUGUUCUACGAUUAACUAUAGCUCCGGAGUUUUUAUAGAUUUUCAAAUAAAACUCAGAGAUUCCUUGUAUGACUCUCUCUAGUCUCUCUUUUGUGAUAUUUCUAGAUCCUUACCAAGGCAGUAAUGGUGUAUGCCUUCUCUCAAAGAAUGUGGUAUUUUUGGUACGAGGCAUAAUGGCAUUGCCUUCUCUCUCACCCUACUCUAAUAAGGUUUUGAUAUCUAGAGUUCAUAGGUGAGAGACAGCUAAUACAUACUUACAAGACAUUUAUUGCAUAGUCAAACCAUGGAUCCAAAAGAACAAGUCAAUAAGUCAAAUCAAGAUAUGCAUGUGUGGCGAAUGAAUGGUGUAUGAUGAUGAUGGUGAUAACAAUGGUGAAAGUAUAAUUCUACUUGUGCUCUUUUGAGGGGAUACAUACCUUUCUUGCUCUUUUGAAACUUUUUGAGGAGAAUGAGAUGCUCUAUAUUUUAUUUUUCUUUUCUCUCAGCGGGUAUCUUGUACCCCUAAUUCUACUGUCGAACACUUGUCCAUUUUUACCUCUCGAAUCACCUUUUUUUUCUUUCGAGGUUCCGGACACUUACCCCUUUUUAUUUCCUCGUAUCUUCUCUUUUUUAGAGCACUCACCUCUUUAAAUAAUGUCGCAAUCGGUAGUAACCGAAAUAACUUGAGCAUUUAUUUCACUAGGGAAAACAGAAAUAGGAGAAUGUUUUUGGCUAUUCUCUCUCGGAUUAAGAGUAGAAUAUUUUUGGGUGGUUCUGGAGAUGGAAAUGGGUGGAUAUAUGUGGAUGCGUACUUCCGGAGUAGAAGCAGCAUGUAUGAGUGAACGUGCAAGUGAAUCUUGAUUUUAACCACAUGACAAGCUCCUAAGGGUCUACACAGCUUGACCACACUCAAUGCUCAUGAGCAGUAAAAAGUAAAUGUGUGGCUCAAAGUCUAGCAAGCAUGUAUAUAUGGCUGUGGUAGGAAUUUAAACUCUCAUCAUACAGGAACUCAUCAUGUGAUAUUUUAAAGAUUUUCAAAGAUAAAAUUCUCCACAAUUCUAGCAUCUCUAGGAACAGAUAAACAGCAGCUCAACCUUCCCAUAUCAUAUCCGUUAACAACUUAGACUUUAGAUCAAGUACUCUUCCCACAAGUUCAGGUUUAGAGCAAAUUUUAAUUCAUAACAGUCAUGCCUAAACUUGAGAGAGAUUUCAAUUUUGAGAACUAGUCAUGGCAGAGCAACUAUUCAUCAUUUCCAUGUGAGAGCUUAUCAUGAGGGUUCAUAGCAAACUUUAUUUAUUUAUUUAUUUAGCAAACUAAGCAGAGAUAUAUAUAUAUAUAAGCACAAAAUCUUUAUUUGGGUUUUUAUGAUUAUGCAUCUUUUUAUUAUUUGAGUAAAGUAUAAACAUGAGUAGAACACUUAGCUAUAUAAAUGGGGGUGCUCUCCCCCAAGCUGGAUUUUGAUGUAAUUUCUUCUAAUGUAGCUAGCAGGUGGCGGAGGUGUAUUUGAAUGUCGGCAGCACCCUGACAACGAUUAGGAUGUCCUCCGUCUGCUAGUCUUCUUUAAUCCUUGAAUUCUGUGGAGCUCAAUUAGACAGCAAAGCUUUGCGGAACUGAUUAAGUGUUAGCAUAAAGAUCUAGCCAUUAUCAUGUUGAGCCUCCUCAAUAAAUGUUACUCUCUUUAGUAGGAUCAUAAAUUUAUUUUUAUAUUUUUAUUUUUAUAGGACAGGAAUAUAUUUAUUUCAUUUUUAUGCCACCACAGUGAAUGUACUUAUGGGUUUUAUGCCAUGAGCAUACUCACAUGGGGCUUACUAUUUUUAACAUUUUUAUUUUCUUUUCAAGAUGAUAUGAACCUGAUUAACUAAGCAAACUAUUUUAAGAUAAUUGAAAGGAAAAGGAUAGCUACCAAGUUUACCUCUUGGCAAGGCUUUUGGUGUUUUUAAGUCCUCCGAACGGGACUCUUCGUUUUCUCAGUCGUCCUGGGAUUCGCUGAAUGGCGUAGUCGGUGGUUCAGGCAGCGCCUCCUCUUCGUGUAUAACUAUCUUCUUUCUCCACACCUGACUCGGUGAUACGGUCUCCUCAGGACAGUUCUUUUCAAGCUGUAUGUCUUUAGACCUUACUUCUCCUUCGUAGUCUGCCCAUCCGUCCAUGAUGAUUUGCCUCCUCUGGUUGCGGUUGCGUCGUCUUCUUCUUGUCCUGACCUGCUUAGAGUCUUCAACUAUAUAGUUAGGGUCAAUAAAAUAGCGGCGUACCUUCUCAGAGGGGAAGUGCAUGUGGACUUCUCAGGUUCCAAUGUAGAUGAUUGCUUUAACGGUGCUGAGGAAUGGUCUUCCAAGGAUGAUGGGUGGAUCGUACUCGUCUUCUCCCAUGUUAAUAACCUGAAUGAUCGUCUAUUUUGAUAGGGAUAUCAGUUACUAUACCUUCAACCUUUAGGAAUGUCUGAUCUGCCAUCUAGAGCUGAAUGUAUGUCGAUUUUAGGGGCAUGGUUACAAAUAGGAGCUGAUAGAUGACUGCGGCCAUUAUGUUGAUGCUUGACCCGGUGUCGUAAAGCGUCUUCUGGAAGUUGUAUCCAUUAAUGGAGCACUGGAUGCUUGGCAUACCAGGGUCAUCCUUUUUGGUUAGAAACGGUGACUUAAGUUGACGAUCUUGACCUCCUUGAACUGUAGUGACCAUUUUAGCUGACUCGGUCCACAUUUGCUUGUUCAUGUUUCUCCUGUUGGUCCUCUUCCUUGGUUCAUGUCGGGAUUGCUCUGAGCUUUGUGUAGUCUUGUUCUUGAAGGAAAACGUCUCCUUCUUCCCCUUAAUGUAGAAACUAAUCUUGGCAGCACUAGCGUAGAUGACAGCUCCCGAGAUGUUCAGGAAUGGCCUCCCUAGGAUGAUGGGUGCCCUCUCAUCAGUGCCAGUCUCUAUCACCACGAAGUCUGCUGUAGCGUAUAAGGUACAAACUCGGACGUAGAGGUUCUUCAAUAUUCCCUUUGGGAAACUUAGUGUCCGAUCCUAGGCAUAAUGUUGACGUUGGAGCCAAAGUUGCAGAGUGCUUUUGGGAAGUCCACCAUGCUGUUGACGGUCCUUAAGUACUAAAAUUAAUCAUCAAAUAAA
This 3257-nucleotide long non-coding RNA is filed under the name Sorghum bicolor (sorghum). RNAcentral describes it as "long non-coding RNA (SBIC_LNC016340)". Lineage: Eukaryota; Viridiplantae; Streptophyta; Magnoliopsida; Poales; Poaceae. The record is from RNAcentral.